RNAcentral lists this ribosomal RNA (528 nucleotides) under Cherax dispar. Its description in RNAcentral is "partial 16S ribosomal RNA". It matches the Rfam family "Bacterial large subunit ribosomal RNA", at positions 1851 to 2638 of the family's 2925-position model. The record is from RNAcentral. Lineage: Eukaryota; Metazoa; Arthropoda; Malacostraca; Decapoda; Parastacidae.
AGUCUGGCCUGCCCACUGAGGAUUUAACGGCCGCGGUAUUAUGACCGUGCGAAGGUAGCAUAAUCAUUAGUCUCUUAAUUGGAGGCUGGAAUGAAUGGUUGGACGAGAAAUUAGCUGUCUUAGUUUUGAAAAUUGAAUUUAACUUUUAAGUGAAAAGGCUUAAAUGGGCUAGAGGGACGAUAAGACCCUAUAAAGUUUGUACAUUAAACUAAUUUAAGGCGGUUUGGGUUUAUAAAGUUUGUCAUUAGGAAAGUGUUUAGUUGGGGCGAUUGGGAUAUAAGUUAUAUAACUGUUUCUUUGUUUGAAUCAAAAAUAUUUGAGUUUAUGAUCCUUUUUUAGGAUUAAAGAGUAAAUUACUUUAGGGAUAACAGCGUAAUUUUUUUUGAGAGUUCUUAUCGAUAAGAGAGUUUGCGACCUCGAUGUUGAAUUAAAAUCUCUUUGUGGUGCAGCAGUUACAAAAGAAGGUCUGUUCGACCUUUAAAUUUUUACAUGAUUUGAGUUCAGACCGGCGUGAGCCAGGUUGGUUUU